UCAGGUAAGCGCGGGAACUUAUCCCGCGAAAAUUCUGUGCGAAGGUACGAGUAUAUUCGGCGGUAUCUGCGAAAAGGGGCCAUCGUUCUUUCCUUAAGGUAAGGUCUUAACUGUGUAAAACUUCGCGAGGAAGAAAUUCUACUCGCUGGCCUGUCCAAUUUGGCUUUUAGAUAAGGUUGUAUGCCUGAUAAUUUCUGUCUAGAGCUAUAUGAUGACGCGCGAUAAAUCUCGCUGCUUAAUAACCUUUGAGCGGAAAAUGAUGAUGCCCAAACCAUUUAAUCAGCAAAGCAAGGUUUACCUUUACUUCUGUGCUUUCGAAGCAAGAGAAGGAAUUAUUUCUGUGAUAGUUAGGUGACAGAUGCUUAAAAUCACAUGGUGUAUUAUCAAACUGUUGAAACCUAACAUGAGCAAGAUGAACUAAUUAUGGAAUGAACCCUGACAUCACAGCUCAAAUAUUCCUUCCCUAUAAGAUGACGCGCUCUUGGCAGAUUUAAUUGAACGUUAACCGCGAAAAGCCGUGAUGAAAAAGCAAUGUUUGUUUUAAUAGAAAAAGAUAGUUUUCCUGUUUAGAUGACCAACCAACCUUAACUUAAUUACACAUCAUAAGUGCACGUUCCGUUGACUGGUAAUUUUUACGUCGAUGUUGUGUUUGCCUUGGUGGUGUCUGUCCUCAAAUCCCGUGAUUUUUCAAUUAAAAAUAAAUAACGAAUUUAGGAAUAAAAUUACCAACGAGUAAAAUACCUCUUCUCGUAACGUAUUAAAUUGCAUUUACAUUUCCAACUCUUGCUUCAGACACGAGAUGUAAAAUCGGUCAUAGAUUGUAAAAGAGAUUUGUGAGUAAAGAACUUUUUCUACUUG
This is a non-coding RNA of Pocillopora verrucosa, 858 nucleotides long. Lineage: Eukaryota; Metazoa; Cnidaria; Anthozoa; Scleractinia; Pocilloporidae. The record is from RefSeq and is a predicted model, not a curated record.